Molecule: ribosomal RNA, 460 nt
Filed under: uncultured bacterium
Lineage: Bacteria
Description: partial 16S ribosomal RNA
Rfam family: Bacterial small subunit ribosomal RNA
Source: RNAcentral
CCUACGGGUGGCAGCAGUGAGGAAUAUUGGUCAAUGGACGAGAGUCUGAACCAGCCAAGUAGCGUGAAGGAUGACUGCUCUAGGGGUUGUAAACUUCUUUUAUAUGGGAAUAAAAUGUUCCACGUGUGGGAUUUUGUAUGUACCAUAUGAAUAAGGAUCGGCUAACUCCGUGCCAGCAGCCGCGGUAAUACGGAGGAUCCGAGCGUUAUCCGGAUUUAUUGGGUUUAAAGGGUGCGUAGGUGGAUUGUUAAGUCAGUUGUGAAAGUUUGCGGCUCAACCGUAAAAUUGCAGUUGAAACUGGCAGUCUUGAGUACAGUAGAGGUGGGCGGAAUUCGUGGUGUAGCGGUGAAAUGCUUAGAUAUCACGAAGAACUCCGAUUGCGAAGGCAGUUCACUGGACUGCAACUGACACUGAGGCUCGAAAGUGUGGGUAUCAAACAGGAUUAGAUACCCGUGUAGUC